This 147-nucleotide unclassified non-coding RNA is filed under the name soil metagenome. RNAcentral describes it as "partial internal transcribed spacer 1". The record is from RNAcentral.
CCGAGUUUACAACUCCCAAACCCCUGUGGACAUACCACUUGUUGCCUCGGCGGAUCAGCCCGCUCCCGGUAAAACGGGACGGCCCGCCAGAGGACCCCUAAACUCUGUUUCUAUAUGUAACUUCUGAGUAAAACCAUAAAUAAAUCA